GCGAAAACUUUACAAUGCUGGCAACAGCGAUAAGGGAACCUCGAGUGCCAGGUUACAAAUCUGGCUGUCGAGAUGCCUAAAAAGCAUUUCAUAGCAAGGGCCGGGCAAGACCGGUGCCAGCCGCCGCGGUAACACCGGCGGCUCGAGUGGUAACCGUUAUUAUUGGGUCUAAAGGGUCUGUAGCCGGCCGGAUAAGUCUCUUGAGAAAUCUGGCAGCUUAACUGUCAGGCUUUCAGGAGAUACUGUCUGGCUCGAGACCGGGAGAGGUGAGAGGUACUUCAGGGGUAGGGGUGAAAUCUUGUAAUCCUUGAAGGACCAUCAGUGGCGAAGGCGUCUCACCAGAACGGACCUGACGGCAAGGGACGAAAGCUAGGGGCACGAACC
This 384-nucleotide ribosomal RNA is filed under the name uncultured prokaryote. RNAcentral's name for it is "bacterial SSU rRNA". It matches the Rfam family "Archaeal small subunit ribosomal RNA", at positions 341 to 725 of the family's 1478-position model. The record is from RNAcentral.